RNAcentral lists this transfer RNA (72 nucleotides) under Aplastodiscus arildae (Teresopolis treefrog). Its description in RNAcentral is "tRNA-Lys". Lineage: Eukaryota; Metazoa; Chordata; Amphibia; Anura; Hylidae. The record is from RNAcentral.
CACUAAGAAGCUAUAAGGUCUAGCGGCAGCCUUUUAAGCUGCAGACAGGUGGCGCCCGAUCACCCUAAGUGA